GACAGGACAGGGCGGGGUGCGUAGGGGUCAGGAGCUUUUUGGGUCAUUUGCUUGAUAUCCAACACAUAUGUGAUGAUUUGCUGCUGAGCUUUUGGAACGAUGUUCAUGCACCUUGGGGUUUAUUUAUCUAGGAAGUUAUUAUGGGUCAAUUGCUAGAAGAAAUUUGAAGUUGGAUUAAACUUCUCAUAGUUUAUGAUAUUUUGAGUGACCCAAAAGUAGGGCUGUGUGGACUAAUUUUCUUCUUAAUCUUCAUCAUUUUUUCCUUUAUUGUUACUUUCUGAUACCUG
This 287-nucleotide unclassified non-coding RNA is filed under the name Hevea brasiliensis (rubber tree). Lineage: Eukaryota; Viridiplantae; Streptophyta; Magnoliopsida; Malpighiales; Euphorbiaceae. The record is from RNAcentral.